This is a long non-coding RNA of Venturia canescens, 455 nucleotides long. RefSeq lists it as uncharacterized. The record is from RefSeq and is a predicted model, not a curated record. Lineage: Eukaryota; Metazoa; Arthropoda; Insecta; Hymenoptera; Ichneumonidae. The transcript is spliced from 3 exons.
CAUCGCGAAUCUCGACAAACGUAGGGGUGGAAGUGCAUCCCCACCUCUGCGCAGCAAAAAUAAACUACGUUCGCCAAAUCAGGGACAAUCGAGAAUUCCAACUCCGAGUCCUCCGGCGUUCGUGAAUCACCGAGUAUUGCGACAUUACGACGCAAUCGAUGGCUCGAUAUCCGAGGCUUCGAAUCAAAUUCGAUCCGCAUUGUUGCGCAAACUGCGCGAAGUUUGGGCACAACAUCCACGAAACGUAAUUGAAAUUUCGAGUCGUUCGAAAAAUUCGUCCCCAUCAACCGGUUCAUCGAUCGACUCGAAACUGCUGGAUUUAGGCUCGAGAAUUCCAUUGCCACGAAAAUUUUCAAGAGGUCGACCAUCCCAAUGAGUACUCGAGUUUGAAAUAAUCAUCGACGAGUCCCCGACAAUGUCCAUCUUCUCGCAAUGAAUUUAAAUUUGAUCUGUUG